CUCUUAUAUUAUGUGACGGACGGAGUAGUACUUAAGCUACAUUAGCUUCAAUGUCAUAUUAAUCAUAUUACAAAGCAGCUCACUGUCCACAUAAAGGUUCAUCAAACCAUUAUCUCAGAGCAAUACCAUGUAACUGUUAUGACCGGUACAACGUACCAACGGAGGAGGCCCAAUGGGCAGGGUUAAUUACGGGCUUAGCCCAAGUUAUCUUACCUAUCUUAGAGUCCAAGUUAUAUUAGAGUCCAAGUUAGAGUCCAAGUUAUCUAGGGUUUAGUGGAGGCUGUCCUCCUAUAUAAACACAUGUACCCCUUCGGUAUUAAGCAGACAAUANAC
This 333-nucleotide long non-coding RNA is filed under the name Hordeum vulgare. RNAcentral describes it as "long non-coding RNA (HVUL_LNC018536)". Lineage: Eukaryota; Viridiplantae; Streptophyta; Magnoliopsida; Poales; Poaceae. The record is from RNAcentral.